UCCUGGCACUGGGGAGAACUUUCACCACAGCGAUGGAGCUAGUCUGUGAUUCUGCUUGAAAAGCCACCUGCUGGGUGGUUUGUCUACUCUCAGUCGGGCACCCUCACGCACCUGCAGUGGAGACAGGGUCUUGCUCUGUUGCCCAGACUGGACUAGAACUCCUGAGCUCAAGUAAUCCUCCUGUUAACAGACCAAAACUGAGAGUAAACCACCUAUGCUCAUGUGCCAGUAACAAGAUGCAGAUGAACUGGGAGAGAACGGAGUUUUUAUUUCUGUAACCAGUUACAGAGAGAAGGCCUGGAAAUUAUCACCAGAACAACUCAAAAUUACAGCGUUUUCCAGAACUUGUAUACCUUCUAAGCUCUAUGCCUACGCGUAAGUGUGCAUUCAUCUAAAGACAUUACCUGCCUCCUUCAUUGUCCUGUACCCAGCUCAGACCAGAUGGCGCAAAGACCUCAUGACUGUUGCAUUUUCAGUGUGGAAGA
Molecule: long non-coding RNA, 485 nt
Organism: Cercocebus atys (sooty mangabey)
Lineage: Eukaryota; Metazoa; Chordata; Mammalia; Primates; Cercopithecidae
Exons: 3
Source: RefSeq, a predicted model, not a curated record